CAGCAGUGGGGAAUAUUGCACAAUGGGCGCAAGCCUGAUGCAGCCAUGCCGCGUGUAUGAAGAAGGCCUUCGGGUUGUAAAGUACUUUCAGCAGUGAGGAAGGUGGGUAUGUUAAUACGCAUAUUCAUUUGACGUUAGCUGCAGAAGAAGCACCGGCUAACUCCCGUGCCAGCAGCCGCGGUAAUACGGAGGGUGCGAGCGUUAAUCGGAAUUACUGGGCGUAAAGCGCAUGCAGGUGGUUUGUUAAGUCAGAUGUGAAAGCCCGGGGCUCAACCUCGGAAUUGCAUUUGAAACUGGCAAACUAGAGUACUGUAGAGGGGGUAGAAUUUCAGGUGUAGCGGUGAAAUGCGUAGAGAUCUGAAGGAAUACCGGUGGCGAAGGCGGCCCCCUGGACAGAUACUGACACUCAGAUGCGAAAGCGUGGGGAGCAAACAGGAUUAGAUACCCUGGUAG
RNAcentral lists this ribosomal RNA (453 nucleotides) under uncultured bacterium. Its description in RNAcentral is "bacterial SSU rRNA". It matches the Rfam family "Bacterial small subunit ribosomal RNA", at positions 349 to 793 of the family's 1533-position model. The record is from RNAcentral.